CAAAAAGCCAUAGAAAGAAUGGCCAUGAUAAUGGCUGCUAUGCUGAGUUUUUAGAUCUUUGGUUGGAUCCUACAUUUCAUCAUCCUACCAUGUUUCCCACAGAAGAAUGAGAGAUUGUAAGAUUUCCCCAGUCAAUUGGACCAAUACCUCCAGACAUCUUAUUAUAGACUGUGUAACAGAAAAGAUUUUAAGGCAGCCCUCCGGAACUGGCUAUUCUGUGUAAUCUUGCUUUCUUCACCACUGCUGUCAAGAGUAGUGGAGAGUGGAUAUGGUGUCUAUGAACAUGGCUUCUUCAUAUCCAGCCUUUUCCUACCUACAAAUUAUCCUUUCUGGC
This is a non-coding RNA of Castor canadensis (American beaver), 334 nucleotides long. The record is from RefSeq and is a predicted model, not a curated record. NCBI's taxonomy places the organism in Eukaryota, Metazoa, Chordata, Mammalia, Rodentia, Castoridae.